Molecule: RNA transcript, 7328 nt
Organism: Branchiostoma floridae (Florida lancelet)
Lineage: Eukaryota; Metazoa; Chordata; Leptocardii; Amphioxiformes; Branchiostomatidae
Exons: 2
Source: RefSeq, a predicted model, not a curated record
CAAGAUAAAGGUGAGGUUGUGUGUGGUAUUGGUUGUGAAGGGGAAGAUGUGCAGUAUGUAAUAUGUCCUACAGGGUGGAGUAGUUGUAAGCUUAGGAAGGGCAAGGAGAGUACAGGUGUAUUAGGAGGGUUUAGCAGGGGAAAGACUAGGUGUAGGAGGGUAAGUGGUAAAGCUAAGAGGGAGAAGUUGUCAGUACCAACUAGGCUAGAGGUUAGAAUGUUGUAUAGUGGGCCCCUUAAUCCCUCAGGGUGGGUGGAAAAGGUUAAACAGGUAGGUACUAGUACCUGUAAGAGUAGUGAGGAGGGGGGGAAUGAGUGUAAUAUUGUUGCCUGUGAGUCUAGUAAGUCUAGUAAGGAUGGAGUAGAAGAUGUAAAUGAUAGUGACGUCUGUGAGUCUAGUAAGGAUGGGGUAGAAGAUGUGAGUGAUAGUGAUGUCUGUGAGUCUAGUAAGGAUGGGGUAGAAUAUGUGAGUGAUUGUGAUGUCUGUGAGUCUAGUAAGGAUGGAGUAGAAGAUGUAAGUGAUAGUGACGUCUGUGAGUCUAGUGAGGAUGGGGUAGAAGAUGUGAGUGAUAGUGAUGUCUGUGAGUCUAGUAAGGAUGGGGUAGAAUAUGUGAGUGAUUGUGAUGUCUGUGAGUCUAGUAAGGAUGGAGUAGAAGAUGUAAGUGAUAGUGAUGUCUGUGAGUCUAGUAAGGAUGGGGUAGAAGAUGUAAGUGAUAGUGAUGUCUGUGAGUCUAGUAAGGAUGGGGUAGAAGAUGUGAGUGAUAGUGAUGUCUGUGAGUCUAGUAAGGAUGGGGUAGAAUAUGUGAGUGAUUGUGAUGUCUGUGAGUCUAGUAAGGAUGGGGUAGAAGAUGUAAGUGAUAGUGAUGUCUGUGAGUCCAGUACUGAUAGUGAUUACUGUAAAACUUUCUUUGUCAGUUUUGAAGGUAAGUUAUUUACUCUUGGGACACCUAGCAAAUGUAUUCAGGUGUGUAAGUUACAAAAGAUGGUAAGUAAUGUAUGUGGAUUCAACAUUUCAUGUAGAAACCUUAGUUUGGGGGGCAGUAUUCUCUAUGAUGAAAAUGAUAUUGUAGAAGUACAUGAUAAGACUGUGAUAGUGACACUUUUUGGUUGUGGGGGAGGUAAACCUAUUAAUUUUCAUCCAGACAGGCCAUGUUCCUCAGCAUGUGCCCAUUGUAAGAAGCCAUCUGUUUUUCAAUUUGAUAAGUAUACACAUCCACAGGGAUGGAAUGAAUCACUUAGAACUUGGGUAAUCGAUAAUACAGGACUUUCUAGUACAGACUGUGUGUGUCAUUCAUGUGAGCGUAAGUUUCGACGGCUGGCCAAAGAUUCAGUUUCAGAAAUAUCAAAUUCUUCCAUUGACACUCCUGAUGCAACAUUGCCACAAAAACCAUGUUUCAUGUCUGAGUUUCAUUUAUGCCACGAAUUGUCCAACCAUGAGCGUAAAAAUUUCUCAGUUGAUGACAUAAUGUCUUACAUUCUCUCCAUUUCUGACGCAGCUACAGGAUGUAGUUCCUUGCCGAAUUCUAUUCAUAUGUGCACAUUUCAUUAUCAUCAGUUUUGUAGAUUUAAUGAACAAGAUAAAUGUACCCAUUGCUGCAAGGUAAUAAAGUCACAUAAAAGGAAACGGUUCUGUCCAAAAUUGAAUAUUCCACAAUCAGCUUUAAAAUUGGUUGACUCAAAUUUGUUAGAAGGGUCUAUUUUGUGCAACUAUUGUUAUCAAUGUUUAUAUAGAUCAGGGAAUCUUGUCAAGGGUGAGGAAAGUCUAGAAAAACGCUUAGAAAUGUUGAGGAAUUUUGAAGUAGAACAUAGCCUAGAAAACAUACCACAAAUAGCUUUGCAUCAGGUUUCUUGUAAGGUAGGUGAAUUGUUUCUGGAGAAUAAAUCUUUACUACUUGUUGAUGCUUAUGACUGUUAUGUAGAGAGUAUUCAGACACUUAUUAAGGAAUUUGACAAGAAGGAACAAAUUGAUGAAGCUGAUGCUUUCUAUUUUCAAGCCAGAUGGCUAUUAGUUGGGUUAUUGAGUGAUCUGGGAAACUUUCUUUUAAUCCACAAAAGUUCAAGCAAAAGUAACAAACUAAGUUUUUUGUUAUACUAUAAAGAUGCUGAUUUAAUUGAAUCCCUUCAUUUAGCUUUAUAUUCUGCACGGUUAAACACUUACAAGCGGGAUCUUGAGUUAAAGUCUAUUCAGUCCAACAUCGCUUCUAUGUUCACAGAUGUAAACCAAGACACAAUCAAUUCUUCUCUUUUAUCUUCUUUAAUGUACAUGAAUAGUUUAGUUCAUCAAGAAUCUUCCAAAUUCAUUGAUAAGUUUGUUCAGUGUCCAACUUCCCUCCAUGAAAUUGACAUGUUGCAAAUUUCAAAAGAAAUAAACCCUAUUGUUUGGAACUUUAUUGUUGUAUUAACUAUGCAAAAGUCUGAAAUUCUUACGUCUGAUUUUGAAACAUUUGAUAUGAAUAAACAUUAUUUAACAUUUCUUAAGGAUAAUUCUAGCCAUAGUUCUUCCAAGUUUUUGAGACGUCUUUUUGCUACUUUCCUUAUCUUAUUUAUUGUCUCUGACGGUCAGUGUAGUUAUCCUUUUCACAUGAUUAAUUCAGAAUUGAUUCAUUCUUAUAGCCAGUCUACUGAUCUUAUGCAAUUGUUAAAUCGCCUUGGUGUAUGUUGUUCCAAUGAUUCUCAUAAAAGAUUUAUUUCUGGAAUGUUAGAUCAAUUGAAAUUGGAAGAUAAUCAUUAUAAUUUGACAGAAGGUUCUUUUACUGUAGCUUCUAUAGACAACAUCAAUAGUGGUAGUCCCCAUGCAGCUGUGACAGGUAGUCCGAGAGGGUGGAACGGUACAUCUAUUCAAGCCGUCCAACCCAAACCUAAAUCCCUUCUUAUUCCCAAGCCAAAUUCAUCUGUACAUAGUAGUGAAGAUAUCUCUGUAGGUAUAGGUAAUGUUACUGAAACUGAUGAGCCAGUAUCAAAGAAAAUCAAAUUAGUUUCAAAGUUUAGGCAAAGAAAAAGGUCACCAAAGGAAAUUGAUCAUAGUACUUUAUCCCUUACACCCCCAUCUUGUGUUCAGUCUAUAGUCCCUUCCACUCCAAUAUCCCUGACCUUCGAACAGUUUGGAAUAUCUGAAGAAGAAAUGAAAGAGUCUCAUAAAUUUAAUUCUGAAGUAUUACUUUAUCAACUUGAAAGAUGUAUAUCAGAUUUGACAGAUUCUUCUCAUAAAUUACCCAGUUUGAAAUGUAAACUAUUUUUAGAAAGGGACCCUGUCACAGAAAAGUCUAACAUUGCAUAUCUAUCUAUAAUGAAUGAAAAUGCUGACUGUAAGGAGACAAUGUUAAAAGCCCUUAAUUUCCUUCACACUUCAUUUAAUGUUGGCGUUGAUAUUGAAUAUUUAGUUGUUGUUGGGGAUGCAAAAACUUAUGACCACCUUCUCAAAUUAAAACAGGAGUAUGGCCCCGCUUUAAGUUGGUUGAUUAUUUUUCCGGGUGAUUGGCAUACAUUGAAAAAUUACCAGAAUGCAUUAAUGAAAGUUUAUUGGGAGGGAGGGUUGAAACAGAUCGCUUCAGGUAGAAUAAAAGGACAGACUUUACUUUCAGUUGGUUUAUGUAAACAUUUUAAGCGCACUCAUAAAUUUUUGCUUCAAGUAUGGGAGGCCUUAUACAGAUGUGAAAUUGAAGCUUUUCUAGAGUAUAGAAGGAAUAGUACUGACACUACUGAUCAAUGUUCAUCAAGUUGUUCUUUUUCAGCCCAGAAUAUUGUUGAUAAGGUAAGGGUAUUUUUAGAAUCAGUACCGCACUUUAGUGACCCAGGUUUUGAUAGUGACAACUUUGUAAGAAGACAGGAAUUAUUGAAAAUGGAAUUAGAAGGUAUAGAAGAUGACUUCAAGGAGUUUUGUUCCACAGCAUUUGCCCGGGAUGAAGUAUUUUUGUUUUGGCACAGAUUUGUUCAUGAUGACUUUAUGGCAUAUAUUUCUCUUUUCAUAGCAAUUAGAUCAGGGAAUUGGAAUUUGCGUUUGUAUUCAUACAAAAUGAUGGCACCCCUUUUCCAUGCCUUUGACCAUGUAAUAUAUUCUAGAAUCAUUCCCUUGCAUCUUUGUGAUAUAUUGUCUUGUCCUGACCAUAUUCUCAGAUAUUUCCAAGAGGGGGGAUUUGUUACCAGUAUUAAUUCUGUUAAUUAUUCUAAUGUAGCUUUAGAUGAGAGUCAUGAAAUGUUGAUAAAUAGGGACACAAAAGAAGUUAUUACAGGGCCUAACAAAUUUGUAAUUGAAGAUCUUGUUCUGUUUUUACCAUAUCGAGCUAAAUUGAUUAAACAAGUUAAAAAACAAAUUCUUGUCAAAACAAAUUGUAGAACUCAAACUGAUCUUAGUCCGACUAUCAUUGAACAAGAAAGGCUGAAUAUUGUUUAUUAUGCAAAAAAAGUUGUAGAUGCCGGCAUUUUUUCUGCCCUUGUACAUGAUAGAUGUCUGUCCCAACCAUUUACAGGAGCUUCUAUUUCAGAUAUUCAAAGAGAAGACUUGCUUAAGUUUAGGGAAAUAGGUAAGGCAUCUUUAGACACAUUCAUUAGGUUCAGGAUACUUAACAAUCCAAGUAAUAUAGCACCCCAGAGACGAAAGUCUUUAAGAACUUUUUCUCAAAUUAAAAUGACAAAGUCUAGGGUUUCCAAAAGUGAAAAAGACAAAAAGUUAGUUUUAGAAUGUUAUCGUAGAGUUGUUUCCUGGUCCCAAAAUCAAAAUAAGCCCCUGUCUGAAAUUGCCCACCUGUUAGAUUUGCCCCAGCUAGGUCAGUUUCUGGAGCUGCCUCGUGCUUUAUGUAAUGCUGAUGGAGUCCCUCACAAGGGGGCUAAAUCAGCAACCACUUCUUUUUUCCAGUCUAGAUACCCUAGUUCUUUCACCAAAAUGUACCCUACCAAUUUCUCUCCCCAGUGCUCUGUUUUAGAAGGCAUGUUUUUGAUCAAUACAUCUCCAUUAGGUCAGCAUAGAACUUUUCUUGAGUAUUCACAUUUUCUGUUUCUAAAAUGGGUUUUGCCUUUUCUUCAGUCAGGUUGUUAUGAAGUCCAUAUUGUUUUUGAUGACCCCCACCGAAAUGGCCCUAGUCCUAAAGAUGUUGAAAGAAAUAGAAGAGAUUCUGUUUUGGAAAAUGACAAUUUAACACUACUUGAUUCAAUUUCUGAUGAUACAUGCACCCCAAAAGACUGGAGAAAAUUCAUUUCCUUGCGUCCAAACAAACGUUUGUUAUGUUCUUACUUAUGUACUUCUUUACUUACAAUUUGUACACCUUUUUUGAGGCAGCAACAGAAAGUGUUCACAGCUGGGGCAUUUACUGAUGAUAAGACAGAUAUGUGUUUUGUUUCUUCAUUAGAUGGCAUAUCUCCAUAUCCAGACUGUAGGUCCAAUCACGAGGAAAGUGACACUCGUGUUUGGCUGCAUGCUGCUUCAAGCAGUUACAAAAACAUAAUGAUUUAUUCACCUGAUACGGACACGUAUCACGUGGGCCUUCCUUUUGUGGGGGAUUCAGGUAAAAGAAUUGUCAUUUUACAAAAAGCUGAACCAGGAAAUUGGCAAUGUCUGGAUGUGAAUGAGUUGCUAUCUUGUUUUGACAAGGACCCUGAUCUUUCCUCCCUUUCUAGAUAUCUACUACCCCAUAUAAUUCAGUCACUGUUUAUCUGUACAGGUUGUGAUUAUGUUUCCUUUUUUGUUGGCCUUGGUAAGGUAUCAUUUUUGAAAACUUUCUUUCAGUAUUCAGAAUUCAUUUCUAGUGGCAACUCUGACCAAACUAGUGGUUCUCUUUCUUGUGCAGAUAAAGAUACAGGGUUCUUGGCUUUUGUUCGUUUAGUUGGUAGUGUUUACUUUCAAAAACACCGUUCUGCUUUUCUUAAGUACUCAUCUCCAGUCCAACUUUUCAGAGAAAUGAGGGGGGAUAAUAUUUUAAAGAUUCACGAAAACUGGUUACAAGUUAUUAGGGGUGCCAUCUUUGAAAGAAUAGAGUUUGAAGAUAAUAGUUUACCUUCCUUUCAGUCCCUUUGGUUUCAUUGGUUACGUUCUUGUUGGGUUUACCUCACUUGGGCUCAGGCUUUAGAGCAGGAUUUUUCGUCUGUAUUAUUAGAUAGGUACGGUUGGGAAAUAGAUAAUCAUGGUAAUUUAAUGAUUACUUGGGAUUCUAAAGAAAAUAUUGAAAAGGUGCAGAAGACUGUAGAGUUUUUAACCAGGGGGUGUAAAUGUAAAAGUGGGUGCUCUAGUAAAAGAUGUAAGUGUCUAAAGAAAGGUCAGGUAUGUGGUCCGGGAUGUAGGUGUUUAGAUUGUUCUAAUACUAUUUGUAUUGUGCAAAAUCAGGUAAGUCUGGACAAUGUGGAAACAGAUUCAGAUAGUAGUAGCAGUAGUGAUGAUCAAGACUAUGUAAAUCUUAUAGAUGACUUUUAUUGUGGUAGUCUGUCUUUAUUAGAUCAUAUUUCUGAUUCAGAAUUUUCUGAGGUAGAGUAAGGGUAAUAAUGAGUGAAAUAGGACUGUCUAUUGUAUAGCCUAGGUAUAGGUGAGGGGAAGCUGGUCUUUUCUGUACUCCUUCACCCCCUUUCUCUCCCUCUCUCCUUUUUCCAAAGAACCCCUUCCUGCUAGGUUUAGACAUCUGCCCCCCGUAGGUAGGUUAGAGGCGCCUGACCCCUGUAAAGGUCGUACUUAACGACGUCAACAUGGGGUACAUCACACAGAUCCCCGAGUUGACGGGAAAGGCGUAACCCCGCACUUUGGUACGGGUGCAGGUUGGAGGUUCUGACUUUCAUUUCCUUACUCCAGCUGUCCCUCACCUAUGGGUUUGGUAGUCUAGGGUCAUUGCUAAACAUAUGAUCUUAAAAUUUAGAUAUAACGUUAAUAUAUUCUUAGUCUAUGAAAUAUCUUGAUAAAAUAUAAUAUAUUUAACAUAUAUCUAAAUAAAGAUACUAAGAGGAGUAACCGGAAGUGAAUGAAUGUGAGUGCCUGACUGAGUGUAUGAUAUCUGUAAUUGAUGAGUAAGUAAGUACGGUAAGUACCUGAUGUAUGACGAAUGGAUAUUUACCUUUUUUGUUUGUUUUGCAUUAGAUGGAGUUCUACCCCAGAUCAGCUGAGGAUGUGCCUCUUCCAGCUCAACUGUGAUGUUCUGCUGUGGAUCUGAGGAGGGUGACAGCUUUGUUGGUUAUUCAUAUCAUUUGGCUUGAAUUCAAUCAUAUCAUUUCACAUUAUUGGAAUUAUCAUUCUGGCCCAAAGAAUCGCCAGAUGUUUGGCAGUAGAUUAUUUGAUUCCAAGUAUUGUUUCCAAUUGGGCAUCAAUAUUUAGGCAUGACUUGUUUGUUUAAUAAAGUUUGGCUGGUAUUUAACAUA